This 254-nucleotide ribosomal RNA is filed under the name uncultured bacterium. RNAcentral's name for it is "partial 16S ribosomal RNA". It matches the Rfam family "Bacterial small subunit ribosomal RNA", at positions 524 to 776 of the family's 1533-position model. The record is from RNAcentral.
UACGUAGGGAGCAAGCGUUGUCCGGAUUUAUUGGGCGUAAAGAGCUCGUAGGUGGUUCGAUAAGUCGGGUGUGAAAACUCUGGGCUUAACCCAGAGACGCCACCUGAUACUGUCGUGACUGGAGUCUGGUAGGGGAGUGUGGAAUUCCCAGUGUAGCGGUGAAAUGCGCAGAUAUUGGGAGGAACACCAGUGGCGAAGGCGGCACUCUGGGCCAGUACUGACACUGAGGAGCGAAAGCGUGGGUAGCGAACAGG